RNAcentral lists this long non-coding RNA (662 nucleotides) under Mus spicilegus (steppe mouse). RNAcentral's name for it is "lncRNA (ENSMSIG00000025977.1)". Lineage: Eukaryota; Metazoa; Chordata; Mammalia; Rodentia; Muridae. The record is from RNAcentral.
GUGGUGUUGUUUAUGACAAUGGCACACCGGAAACCGGCGCCAUCUUAGAGUUGGCUUCCUACAAAAACCUGCUCACUGGAUACUUACUAAGAUUACCAUCUUUGGUUGUCUCAACCUUGUGAAGAGGGUGACAUGUCAACCAACUCUGUUUCCCAGAGUCUUGGUAAUGUCUGCAUUAAACAUUAUGAAUGAGCCGGUGGAACGUGCAUUGUCUCUUUUUGCUAUUAAGAAAAUAUUUGCUGGCAGCUUCCAAACUGGCAGCCAGGAGAAGUGGCUGUAAAAUCACCACAGUGAAAAGGGUUUCACAGUUUUGACUGUGAGGAUUUGGGACUUCUUUUGUUAUCCACCUCCUGUCCCAGGCCAGCUGCCCUCCUCUCCUUUUCUGGGUCUGUGUUCCUCAUAGUUCAUUUCCAUUAUUUUCCCUUUCUUAAGAUUUCAUUCUCACCUUUUGUGAUUAAAAUGAGAGUUACAAUAGUUUGAAUAUUGUGGCUGGUCUUGAUGGCUAAUUGAUGUAGAGGGGCCUAGCCCACUAUGAGAGAUACUAUCCCCUUAUAAAACUGUAUAAGGCAGCUAAACACAAGCUUAGGGGCAAGCCAGUAAGCAGCAUCCCUCCAUGGCUUUGGCUUUAAGCUCCUGCCUUGUGUUCCUGCAUGGGCUUUCCU